CCCAAAACGAAGCAGCGCUAUCUGGGCGGCACUAGGACCCCGGGGGCUCCAGGUUAGCUCUCCCCGCUGGCGGGUGGUGGCGCGGGUUUAAGGUCCAGCAGCAGCGGGAAGCAAGGGGAGGGCGGGGGGGGCGAGGAGGGUGGGCGGGUAACGAUGGUCGCGGCUGCCCUGCUCCGCCCCCGGGACCGCGCGGACCUAGGCGGGCGAGCGGGGAGUGGGAGUCGGGCGGCGCCCCCCCCACCCCUCCGCCCGGCUCAGCGCCGCCGCUUCCCGCAGCGCACUCUCCUGCCGCGGGGACGCUGAGGGCGCCGGCUGUCUCCCGGGGCGCGGCGCCUGGUGGACAGACACAUCGUAAACGGGAGAGGAGAGCGCGCGCUUCCGCGGGGACGGGGAAAGACACGCCGGUGACCGAGCUGAGGCUGCGGCCACGCCGGAAAAGGGCUGAAGCGGGUCAGGAAGCGGACACGGGCCGAGCGCUGGCAGCUCAGACGGGAGGCCGGGCGGGGGCGUGGCCACGCGCGCCAGGCUGAGCGUGUGGGCGGGGCUCACCGGCGCGGGGGCGUGGGGCGGGAAGGGGGCGCUGGGGCUGGGGUUGAGGGGCGGGGGAGAGCGAGGGCAGGAGCAGAAGGGGCUGAGCCCCAGAGGAGAGAAGGCGAGGUCGGCGGGGACACGCAGGCCAGCACCUGGUUGGCCGUGGCGGCGUGGGGAGCCCAGGAGGCGGGGUGCAGCCGUGGCCCGUGGGACGGAGAGGUGCCGACGGAGCCUCCCAGCACAGCACCGCCUCUGGGCGGUGUAGGAAGAAACGCUGGUGGGGAAGAUGGGUCUGAGAUGUCUGAGGGACAGCAGGUGGCCGGUUGCUAUAAAUGUCUGGAGGCCACGAGAAGGCGCUGAGAUCAUUUAGGAGAGCGGAUCCCGGGAGACGAGAGCAAAGGACUGCACCUCAGGAACCUGGACAGUUGUGAUGUUGGCCAACAGAGAAAGAUCCUGGGAAGGAAACCUGAAAGUGAAGAGCAGGUAUUAGGAGAAAUGGACAGAGAAGUGUUCCGGAAACUGAGGUUAAGAAGGUGACCUAAACCAAUGGUAGCAAUGACUUCGGAAGAUGAAGGAAAGGCAGGUUGAAGUGUGGGUUUGGAAAUCAGGGAGACAUGGGGAGAGCAGGCUGGCUCCAGGACGGGGAGCAGGAGCAGGAGCAGGACGGGCUGAGAAGUAAGGGGGAUGAGGAUGAGUGUGGAGCCUAAGAUCCUUGGGGGCUGAGAUGGCAUUUGACCUGUCUUGAUUUCCCAUCGCUGGUAGAGAUUAGUGUUUGAGCUGAAUUGUGCUGUUCUUUUAGGAAGUCUGAGUAUAAAGGGAGGAGAGCUGAGCUGUGCGCUGAGUCAAGAAGACUGUUCAAGGCUUCUUUCUGUCAACUUGUACAGAGGAGGAGAUUGGGUACACCAACUUGAGGAGACCAGAGACAAUAGCAGUGAGGGGUGGAGGAGUGAGCUGUGAACAAAAACAAGGACUCUUGUCACAGAGACAAAGGAAAAGAUGAAGGGUGGGAGAAGGGAGAGGAUGUGUGUGACAGCUUUUGUUUCCUCUUUUCUUGGGAAAGUGGAAGGCAAGGUCGUCUGCUAAGAAUGAGAUGGUGGACAAAUUGGAUAGGAAUUAAGAGAGUAAUAUUGUUUCAAAGGCAAGUUGCUGGGGUAAUUAGGUGAGAGAAAUGCCCAAAGACAAGUCAUAGGAAUGGUAAAUUGUUGGGGGCCUUUUACAAGAUUUUGUAGGGUCACAGAUCUGCUAAAUGGCAUCAUUUUCUCUAGCAGUGAUCAGCUGCUGGAUAGCAGAGAGUGCUGGAUGCCAGCCCAAGGAGUCUGGGUUUAUCUUCUAGGCCACCAGGUCCCAAGUCCUGCUCACCAGAAUCUCCUAGAAAUCUUCCCUAAAGCACAGAUUCCGCAGAAUCACUGCCCAGAGAUUCAGAUCCUAAGUGGGUGUUGAGGUCUGGAAAUCUGUAUUUUUAAUUAGCUCCCUACUGAUUCCCAUGUAGCCAGGUAAGAGUUGGCAGAUCCUGAAGACUUUUUCCAUCUUAUUGAGGUAUAAUUGACAAAUAGGAAUUAUAUAUAUUAAUUAUAUAUAUUUAAGGUGUUCAACUUGAUGUUUUGAUAUAUGUAUACAUUGUGAAAUGAUCGCACAAUCAAGCUAAUUAACAUAUCCAUCACUCCACAGGAUAGCCAGAGUCUUUGUGUGUGUGUAUGUUGAGAACACUUGAGAUCUACCCUCAAGAAAUUUCAAGUAUGCAAUACAGCAUUGUUAACUAUAUCACCACACUAUCUUUGUAUGUGUUUCCAAACCAUUGUCUGUGUACUUAGCAGCCACCAGGAAUCUAGAACGUGACAAGUCCUGUCAGUGCCCCGAGACAGGGACAAUCUGGGAGCUGGAGUUUAUCACCCACUCAUUCUGCACUGAGCCGAGGAGAAGAGCUGUGACAAAUAUCUGCAUUCUUAUUCAGACCACAUACUUUUAAACCAUUGCUUUGCUCUCUGUAGUUCCCAGGGGCCUAGUGAAUGUCAAUCCCUGUCAGCUCUCAGA
Mirounga angustirostris (Northern elephant seal) is the source of this 2562-nucleotide long non-coding RNA. RefSeq lists it as uncharacterized. The transcript has 3 exons. The record is from RefSeq and is a predicted model, not a curated record. Lineage: Eukaryota; Metazoa; Chordata; Mammalia; Carnivora; Phocidae.